This 1068-nucleotide long non-coding RNA is filed under the name Equus asinus (donkey). RNAcentral's name for it is "lncRNA (ENSEASG00005027376.1)". Lineage: Eukaryota; Metazoa; Chordata; Mammalia; Perissodactyla; Equidae. The record is from RNAcentral.
GAGGAUUAGGGAACCUUAAAAAACAAGAAUCCCAGGUCACUCUAGUUAUAACAAUUCCUCUGAACUGCUUGAAUCAAACAAACAUAAAAGUUUAAUUCCACUCUUUUUACCUGGAAUUCCAAAUCACCCUCUGGAAGCAUAUCUUAGUGUUCUCACAACGGGUUUGUGGCCUUAACGGAAAAAUAGAAUGAUUCUUAAGUCUACUUUUUAGAUUCUUGGAGCCCUCUGCAUCACGAGGCCCUUUAAGUGUUUCCUUGAAUCCUCGCACCAACUCAGGGAAGUAGGUGUUACAUCCUCAUUUCACACAUGAGGAAACUGAGGCUCACCAGAGUUCAAUUACUUGUGUGCGGUCAUAUCGUGUGAGGGGAGAAGGCAGGACCUGAACCUGGCAGUUUGCUCUGCAGAAUUGACCUUCCCGUCUGCAAGGCCAUGACAGCUCUGAAAAGAAAAUUAAGAAAAUGCAAGUCACCAGAGUCCCCUGGGAAACGUCCAGCUGUCCUGGGAGGGGAGCUCAUCUGUCCUGGAGGACCAUGACACUGCACUUCUUGAGGAACGGGCACUGAAAGGCACUGUAGGAGGACAUUUGUGACAGCGUGGUGAUGAAUUCGUGACGAGGCGGCAGCGUAGACUUGAAACAGGUCCACGUGUUUCUCUGCAUUUAGCCAAGACCAAACCAGAACGCACGCCCCUGGACGCGCAGCUGGAUGCAUGAAACAAAGAGGUUUUCUAUUUUGUCAUGAAAGGGACAUAAUUUGGGGGGAAAAGCCCUGCCCAAACCAGAAGUUCAGUUUGCGUUUGUUUCAGCCAAACUGCUUCAAGCCUGGUCACAGACUUCUGUGGACCUCGAUUGUUGCAGAAAUGUUUUUUAAAAAGCCUUUUAGGUUUUGUUAAACCUCUCCAGAAGUUUAUUUCAAAAUAAAGGAGUUACUAACACAGCUUUUCCAACGUUAGAUCAUAUUGUAAAGAACUCAUACAAUUCACUAGCAAAUAAAAAAAAUCGAUUAAAAUAUAGGCAGAGGAUCUGAAUAGACAUUUUUCCAGAGAAGACACACAGAUGGCCAAGAGGCA